Felis catus (domestic cat) is the source of this 2439-nucleotide long non-coding RNA. RefSeq lists it as uncharacterized. The transcript is spliced from 2 exons. NCBI's taxonomy places the organism in Eukaryota, Metazoa, Chordata, Mammalia, Carnivora, Felidae. The record is from RefSeq and is a predicted model, not a curated record.
UCUUAGAUUUGUUAUAUUAUGUGUUCUGAGUUACCAUGGACUGUAUCUGAAGGACUAAAAAUUUUUAAAUAUAUUUCUCAAUACAUACUUCAUGGUUCUUCUCCAAAAUUGUACUGAAUUAUUGUCAUACGAUUAUCUGUAACUAAUUCUUAACCAGGAAUUAUUUUCCAUAGCUUGGUUUCAACUCGCCCCCUUUCCUUAUCAUGUGUGUACUCACCGCACAGGACAAAUGGGCAUUGCAGUAGAGACAGGACCCCAAGGAGACACAGUGCUGGGAAAAUUCCCUGCAACCUGGGGGACAUGGUGAAGAGUCUCAGAGAUCGUGCACUGCGACCCAGUGUUCUCAGAUGCCCCGAAUGAGGCUGAAGUGAAGCUCUAAGUCAGUAGGAAACUGAUGCCCGAACCAAAAUCUCUGCCAAGGGCACAGAAGAAGUUACCAACCUGAAUUUCGUGUGUCCCCUCUUGGACCAGCUGUGUAUAUUUGUCAUUUAAAGAUACACAGAUAUUCAUCCACAGAGGAUCAUAAGCACUGGGAAAUGUCUGAAAAUGACCUAUGCCGCCCAGCUGAAUUGAGGUAAGUGCAAAUGAAGCAUGCAACAACCAAAGUGCUUAGCUCUCAAAACUAAAGAGGAACAUUCCUCAGAAAUAAGUGACUCAGAAAUAAGUGCAUCCGUCUGUAAUAUUGAUGACAGCACACAAUUCAAUUUCCUUCCCUGGAGAGAAAGGAAAGUGGAUAAACACACCAUACAGUUGCUUCAUUUUAUGAAGAGGAACUAGAAUAAACCCUGAGGAUGUCAGAUAAAAGAGGUGAUUUCAAUAGUUUAACAGAAGAUUAUUUUUUUAGAAAGCACUUCUGCUUCUCAUGUUCCAACGUCUACAUAAAUCAUUGCAUUUAAUUUCUUCAAAUAAAAAUAUGACGUAGGUGUUAUAGCUACAUGUAACAGAUGAGGAACCUAACUGGGAAAGACCGAGUAAAUCUCCCCCAAACCUUUCUCCUCAGUGGUCGUGUCAGAUUCUGAACCCAGAUCGGAUUCAAAUCCUAAGCUCCUUCCGUUGUACCUUUUGGGGAACAUCAUCGGAACGAUGGGACCACCAGUUUGCCUAUGAGCUGGACCUGUACCCUCGAAGGCUCCCACGCCUCCCCUGUCCUUGGAAUGUGGGUUCCUCUCCCUUUCUCACUCCUCCAGGCUGCUUGAAGGACAUAUCCUUGAAAUAGUGAUGUGGUGUUGAGAACACCUGCAUGGUAUAUGCGACCGAAACCAGUUUAGGCCUCUUCAUAAACUAAAGAUUUGGUGGGAAGGUACAGGGAUCCAUCUGUCUUCCCGCCACCCAGGACAGUACUCAUAUGUCAGUUCCCUUUGCUUAUUAAAACCACCCAUCCGGAGGGGUCUGCCUCUUCUGUCUCUCCCUGCCCUCCUCAUAGAGGGGUCAGUUUCCCAUUAUAGCUGGGAAGCUACCAGGAGUGUUGCAAACCAACAGUGUCAAAGAAUUUCCAUCUAAAGUACGGGAUCCUGAAUCUAUUACUUAGGGGAGUAUGCCUAGGAACAUUCUGCCUCUACCAGGGUGGAGAAGACCCCAGAACAACUCCCUCUUCAUCACGUCGUAUGAAUGUCAACGCCUCCUUAACUGACCUAUGGAUACAUUGCAUCAUAAUGAAAAUCAAUAGCAUUUUGAUUUAAACAAAUGAUAAGCUGAUUCUACAAUUCAUAUGGAAUGUAAGGGAUCAAAAAUCUCUAAGAUGAGGGAGGAGAGAGAUGGAGGGGGGAUGAAGGGGAUAAGGGAGGAGAGGAGCAAAACCAAAGAACUACAUGGCCACAUAUCAAGACCCGUUAUGAAUCUUCAGUAAAUAAGAUAGUGUGGUAUUUUUGUAGGAAACCAAAUGGACUAAAGGUUAACAAUUGAGAGUCAGGUAAUAAGCCCCAAGCAGGCACGAUCAAUUGAUUUAUGACAAACUGACACACUACAGAGCAAUGGGGGAGACGAAGGUCCUUUCAAUAAAAGGCACCAGGUCAAUUGGAUAUGUACAUGGGAAAAAAAGGAAUCUUGGUUCUUUACUUCACACCGUGACAAUUUUGGGUGGUCAUGAAUAUAACUGUGAAAGUAAAGCCAUAAAUCUCCUAAAAGAAAAUAUGGGUCAAAUACAGUUGUGUUCCUAGGGCAGACAUAGAUAUCAUUUCUUUAUUUCUCCCCCCUUUAUUUAUAUCUAUUUUGGCACCAGUUUAUUUUUAAAAGGCAUACAGGCAAUAACCAAAGAAAAUAUUUACUCCAACCUUAACUCCUGCCAAGUAUUGUCUGUCAUAAAAUUGUUCCACGAAGUUCCAGUCUGCUAAAGAUUUUAAAUUGAUUAAUCGUCAUCCUCAUCAGAAUGUCUUGUCUUCUGUUGAAUUGAACUGUCGUGUUUCAAGAGUUUCCACUAAACUUGGUCCUGAUACCUGCCCA